AGUGAACGCUGGCGGUAGGCCUAACACAUGCAAGUCGAACGGCAGCACAGUAAGAGCUUGCUCUUACGGGUGGCGAGUGGCGGACGGGUGAGGAAUACAUCGGAAUCUACUUUUUCGUGGGGGAUAACGUAGGGAAACUUACGCUAAUACCGCAUACGGCCUACGGGUGAAAGCAGGGGAUCUUCGGACCUUGCGCGAUUGAAUGAGCCGAUGUCGGAUUAGCUAGUUGGCGGGGUAAAGGCCCACCAAGGCGACGAUCCGUAGCUGGUCUGAGAGGAUGAUCAGCCACACUGGAACUGAGACACGGUCCAGACUCCUACGGGAGGCAGCAGUGGGGAAUAUUGGACAAUGGGCGCAAGCCUGAUCCAGCCAUACCGCGUGGGUGAAGAAGGCCUUCGGGUUGUAAAGCCCUUUUGUUGGGAAAGAAGAGCAGCAGGUUAAUACCCCGCUGUUCUGACGGUACCCAAAGAAUAAGCACCGGCUAACUUCGUG
This 492-nucleotide ribosomal RNA is filed under the name uncultured bacterium. RNAcentral describes it as "partial 16S ribosomal RNA". It matches the Rfam family "Bacterial small subunit ribosomal RNA", at positions 29 to 507 of the family's 1533-position model. The record is from RNAcentral.